Molecule: transfer-messenger RNA, 363 nt
Filed under: Alteromonadaceae bacterium
Lineage: Bacteria; Pseudomonadati; Pseudomonadota; Gammaproteobacteria; Alteromonadales; Alteromonadaceae
Also listed under: 1 other name
Rfam family: transfer-messenger RNA
About the family: Bacterial tmRNA, also known as 10Sa RNA or SsrA, is named for its dual tRNA and mRNA-like properties. Its role is to liberate the mRNA from a stalled ribosome.
Source: RNAcentral
GGGGACGACAUGGCUUCGACGCCGGUAGUGAACCCUGCGGUGCAUGCCGAGAUGGCAGCUAAUCUCGUAAAUAAAAGCUGCAACGUUAUAGUCGCAAACGACGAUAACUACGCACUGGCAGCGUAAGCUGCCGGUUGUCCUGACUCGGAUGCUUGUAACCGAGAAGUAACACCUCAGGACAUCAUAGCUAACAAGCUCGCCUCCGCUCAUCGUUCCAUGAAUCGGAGGUUAAAACCCAGGAACUCGCUUCAGGCACCCUGGCCUUCGGGUCGCCUGAAGUUAAAACAAUAGAAGGACACUAAGCAUGUAGAGCCAAAGGCAGAACACUGGCGGACGCGGGUUCAAUUCCCGCCGUCUCCACCA